AGCAUAUCAAUAAGCGGAGGAAAAGAAACCAACCGGGAUUGCCUCAGUAACGGCGAGUGAAGCGGCAAGAGCUCAAAUUUGAAAUCUGGCCCCUCUGGGGUCCGAGUUGUAAUUUGCAGAGGAUGCUUCGGGUGCGGUCCCCGUCUAAGUGCCCUGGAACGGGCCGUCAUAGAGGGUGAGAAUCCCGUCUGGGAUGGGCGGCCGCGCCCGUGUGAAGCUCCUUCGACGAGUCGAGUUGUUUGGGAAUGCAGCUCUAAGCGGGUGGUAAAUUUCAUCUAAAGCUAAAUACUGGCCGGAGACCGAUAGCGCACAAGUAGAGUGAUCGAAAGAUGAAAAGCACUUUGAAAAGAGAGUUAAAUAGCACGUGAAAUUGUUGAAAGGGAAGCGUUGUCCACCAGACUCGCCCGGGGGGGCUCAGCCGGCACGUGUGCCGGUGUACUCCUCUCCGGGCGGGCCAGCAUCGGUUUGGGCGGCUGGUGAAAGGCCCCGGGAAUGUACCACCCUCCGGGGUGUCUUAUAGCCCGGGGUGCCAUGCAGCCAGCCUGGACCGAGGCCCGCGCUUCGGCGAGGAUGCUGGCGUAAUGGUGGUCAACGGCCCGUCUUGAAACACGGACCAAGGAGUCUAACAUCUAUGCGAGUGUUCGGGUGUCAAACCCGUCCGCGCAGUGAAAGCGAACGGAGGUGGGAGCCUUUCGGGGCGCACCAUCGACCGAUCCUGAAGUCUUCGGAUGGAUUUGAGUAAGAGCAUAGCUGUUGGGACCCGAAAGAUGGUGAACUAUGCCUGAAUAGGGCGAAGCCAGAGGAAACUCUGGUGGAGGCUCGCAGCGGUUCUGACGUGCAAAUCGAUCGUCAAAUUUGGGUAUAGGGGCGAAAGACUAAUCGAACCAUCUGGUAGCUGGUUCCUGCCGAU
This 910-nucleotide ribosomal RNA is filed under the name Talaromyces verruculosus. RNAcentral's name for it is "LSU rRNA". It matches the Rfam family "Eukaryotic large subunit ribosomal RNA", at positions 37 to 965 of the family's 3401-position model. The record is from RNAcentral. Lineage: Eukaryota; Fungi; Ascomycota; Eurotiomycetes; Eurotiales; Trichocomaceae.